GUGGAGCUCUGUCUGAAUGAAGAUUCAUGGUUGGCUGAUGCAUGGAGCACAGGCUGGAACAGGAGCUGGCAAAUAUGGCAAGCUUUUGAUACAUCCUUCAAAUGGUCCAGCUUUCUCUUAAAACAAUUACUCUGGGAUCAGCAUUCUUUUGCUACCAGCUUCCCAUUCCUUCUGAGAGGCAGACAGAUAUACACGGCUGCCUGAGAGUCUCACUCUGGUGACGGAAGAGGGUUUUUCUUUGUCCAUUUAUUUAACCGACUGCUAGGUUGCCUCAAGCACAGUGGCAACUCUGCACAUCUUACAAAAUAAAAGCAACUAAAUUCAACAACAAAGGAAGAAGAAAAAGUAAAGUCUAUUGGAGUUGGGCAGCCAAUAUAUUUAAAUAAUGAUAUUUUUUAAAAAGCAAAUCAGAACAAAUAACCACUAUGUUGGGAACCACUAGUUACAACCCAUAGAGAGCAUACAGCAAGGAGCAGGUUACAAACCACUCGGCGAAGGGC
Non-coding RNA from Pseudonaja textilis, 500 nucleotides. NCBI's taxonomy places the organism in Eukaryota, Metazoa, Chordata, Lepidosauria, Squamata, Elapidae. The record is from RefSeq and is a predicted model, not a curated record.